CAGCAGCCGCGGGAAUACGUAGGUGGCAAGCGUUGUCCGGAAUUAUUGGGCGUAAAGGGCUCGCAGGCGGUUUCUUAAGUCUGAUGUGAAAGCCCCCGGCUCAACCGGGGAGGGUCAUUGGAAACUGGGAAACUUGAGUGCAGAAGAGGAGAGUGGAAUUCCACGUGUAGCGGUGAAAUGCGUAGAGAUGUGGAGGAACACCAGUAGCGAAGGCGACUCUCUGGUCUGUAACUGACGCUGAGGAGUGAAAGCGUGGGGAGCGAACAGGAUUAGAUACCCGAGUAGUCCCUGUCUCUUAUAC
This 301-nucleotide ribosomal RNA is filed under the name uncultured bacterium. Its description in RNAcentral is "partial 16S ribosomal RNA". It matches the Rfam family "Bacterial small subunit ribosomal RNA", at positions 509 to 807 of the family's 1533-position model. The record is from RNAcentral.